This 1223-nucleotide long non-coding RNA is filed under the name Homo sapiens (human). Its description in RNAcentral is "HSALNT0111176". The record is from RNAcentral. Lineage: Eukaryota; Metazoa; Chordata; Mammalia; Primates; Hominidae.
CAGCAACCCAGAAAUGCCGAUGGAAAUAUACAAAUGAGGCCCCCAUAAAAGUCUGUUCUCUUUAGCCAAAGGAGCAGGAAAAGGGCAACUUAACAAAACGUAAAACUUUUAGACAAUAACUGUUCUAACUAAAGCAAAUACCACAGAGAAAAACUGUAGCUCCACCUCCCCAACCAUGCCGGCAAAGGCUAAGGGAAGCCUAGAAUUCCACCCUCAUAAGGCUGUCAUGAGGAAUCCCAACACCACUGCCAGGGUGAUGUCACAGAAGGCCAAGUAGGAACUGGAACUUUCAUCCCAGCCAACCAGUAAUGAGCAUCCUCCUCCCACAAUGAUAUCAGUGGAGAUCACAUGGGAGUCAGAACCCUCUUUCCAGCAGUAACAGAUCAUAGGGAAAUACGUCUUCACAUAGCAGAUGGGAGCAAAAUAUGACUUGAAUAGUUCUAUUCUCAUCAAGACUGUUUGUAAGAAAUAGGCACUGGAGAUCCAGCUGAAGAAAAGAGAUUUACUUGAAACUCCAGGAUGGGGACAAUACUGAUGGCACCUUAUGGGAACUGGAGCUCCAUUACUUUCUAUAUUUCUUUGUUUCUGUUUCAUUACUAAGAAGAGCUUCCCUCUGUGCCAUUUAGUUGAAAUUCAAUAGAGAGGGUCUACGACUGGCCCAUUCGCCAAGCCACACCAUACAAGUCCAAGGCUGCUGAGGAGAUUGUGGAUUAGCUACUUAUAGAUCAGCUGUCCAGGCAUGGUCCAUUUAGCUAUGGGACAGAUAGGGCCCUGUCCUGUGAUACGGAAUAAGGGCCUUCAAGGCAUCCUUGAGAUGAAUAAGUCAAUGAAUGAAUAAAUAUCAAAGCAAUCUGGACAGGGCAGGCAAUAACAGGGAUCUCUAUCACAUCUGCUUUCUCUCCAUCAGCAAGCAGCAUUUUAUAAGAGCCUGUCUCCCCUGGAUCUCCCUUACACUCAACAUGUAAUCUGAAAAAUCCUUUCUGUGGCCUGCAUUUCUUUGCAAGACUCAGUUCAUUUGGAACAUUAGUGUUCUGACAGUUGUUUUUGUUUCCUUCUUUCUAGUUAUAUAUCAACCUUUCGAAAUCUAAACCCAAUGGCGUAUGUCAGUACAACCAGGCAGGUUUUUGGUAGGACUUCACUAUCAAGGUGGCAUUAUGACUCUUGUAAGCCCUAGGAACUUUUACUUUCAUAAGCCCCAUCCUCAAUUAAAAAAACAUUACGAC